This 93-nucleotide transfer RNA is filed under the name Streptomyces hygroscopicus subsp. hygroscopicus. RNAcentral's name for it is "tRNA-Val". The record is from RNAcentral. Lineage: Bacteria; Bacillati; Actinomycetota; Actinomycetes; Kitasatosporales; Streptomycetaceae.
GCGGGCCCUGCUGGAGGCACGGGCGGCCGAGGGCUGACGGCCCCCGCGCGCAGGCCCCUCGGCGGGCCCCGCGGUCACGGCGCCGUGCCCGCC